GUAGGUGGCAAGCGUUGUCCGGAAUUAUUGGGCGUAAAGCGCGCGCAGGCGGUCCUUUAAGUCUGAUGUGAAAGCCCACGGCUCAACCGUGGAGGGUCAUUGGAAACUGGGGGACUUGAGUACAGAAGAGGAAAGCGGAAUUCCAAGUGUAGCGGUGAAAUGCGUAGAGAUUUGGAGGAACACCAGUGGCGAAGGCGGCUUUCUGGUCUGUAACUGACGCUGAGGCGCGAAAGCGUGGGGAGCAAACAGGAUUAGAUACCCUGGUAGUCCACGCCGUAAACGAUGAGUGCUAAGUGUUAGGGGGUUUCCCGCCCCCUUAGUGCUGCAGCUAACGCAUUAAGCACGCCGCCUGGGGAGUACGGCCGCAAGGCUG
Molecule: ribosomal RNA, 373 nt
Filed under: uncultured organism
Description: partial 16S ribosomal RNA
Rfam family: Bacterial small subunit ribosomal RNA
Source: RNAcentral